Long non-coding RNA from Archocentrus centrarchus (flier cichlid), 214 nucleotides. RefSeq lists it as uncharacterized. Lineage: Eukaryota; Metazoa; Chordata; Actinopteri; Cichliformes; Cichlidae. The transcript has 2 exons. The record is from RefSeq and is a predicted model, not a curated record.
UGUGUCAAAAACGCCUAAGAAUUUACUCAAAUUUUUAAGUUAAAGCUGUUCCUAAACCCUUGGGACUAUGUGAAAAAGCUUGGGCAUUUUGGAAAGGUAACAUUCUAUAUUUUUUAAUACAAAAGUAAGAUUUCCUCUAAGUGUAACUAUCAGAAAGUUAUUCUCUUUUGAACAGACAAAUUUGAAGAUUUUUUUUCUCGCCUAGAUUAAAAAA